GAACGGAAAUGCCCUGCUCACUUUUCAACCGGGUUCUGUCCCGAGUGAUGUUUUCUCUCUGAUUCUAUAACCAAUUCUUUCAGAGGCCUGUAUGGAGGCUGUGGAGACAGGAGUUCCCGGCCUGCCAAUUGUUCGUACAGAUUCUCCCUGAUGGAGCCUAGCCUGACAGUGACCUCACAUCAUUCUAGCCGGGAGCGCCACUUGGCUGUGCAAGGAGAACGACACCAGGUGGUUCUCACAAUGCGUCCAAGAGGACCCGAAUGUAACACUCGAUGCCAGCCGUGUGGUUGGCCUCAAGCUGGGAUUCGUUUGAGCCCAUGGAAACAUCAGUGACACCCAAAAGAUCGGCAGGAGGCAACCAUGGAUGUCCUGCGGCUCAUCUCUCGGCUGGCUGGCUAGAGAAUGUAGUGUUUCACGCACAAUGGUAUGAGCGAGGGCUCCUUGAGCUCCUGAACCAUGCUAGGGCUUUUGAGGGAGGCAGGGAGGGUGAAGAAAGACUGAGAUAUCAGAAACGCAUUGGUCACCUGGGGGCCAUUUGCCUACUGAGUCCCUGGAGGUCUCAAUGAAUGGCAAUGCCCUGCUCACUUUUCAACCGGGUUCUGUCGCGAGCGAUGUUUUCUCUCUGAUUCUAUAACCAUUCCUUUUCAGAGGGCUGUAUGCAGGCUGUGGAGAGCAGGAGUGCCCGGCCUGCCCAUUGUUCAUACAGAUUCUCCCUGAUUAAGCUUAGCCUGACAGUGACCUCACAGCAUUCUAGCCGGCAGCUCAACUUGGCUCUACAAGGAGAAAGAUGCCAGGUGGUUCUCACAAUGCGUCCAAGAGGAACUGAAUGUUACACUGGAUGCCAACCGUGUGAGUGCAGGUUUCCUAGUAGCAAAAUGAACCUCAACUGUCCUGUGCUCCAAAUCCCGGGGCCUGGCAGUUUCACACUGCGAUGAUGAGCUCCUCAAGUUGCUCCUGCCUGCAGUUCGUUAGGAGUGGGACAUGUCGGCCAUUCUAGGUAGAACCCAAUGCUUCAUAUCAUUGAUUCAGGGAGAAGGGGAGCUUCAAUGCAAGGCUCUCCAAUUAACUUCGUGGCCCUGGCUCAUGGCUUUGGCAGUUCUGGUUCAGUCUGUAUUAUUCCAUGACUCUGCAGACCUCUGCAGUAUUGUUUCUGGGAGUGGGUGUGCCCUAAAUGCAGAAUCAGUCUGAAAGUUUUAUGUAUGAAUGUCACACCUGUGUGAACUUGGGCUGUGUCUGACUGGCUUUCUCAAGCAAGAUGCUUUUCCUCUGGCUUGGGGACAGUCUCGCUGCUGUGAGCAAUAGACUCUCACCAUAUCCACGGAGCAGACAGCCAUGAGGGCUGUCUCACUGGCCAGCUAAGUAGUGCCGAAAGUUUAUGAUUUGAGGAAAGGUAUGAGUCAU
Long non-coding RNA from Fukomys damarensis (Damara mole-rat), 1401 nucleotides. The record is from Ensembl. Lineage: Eukaryota; Metazoa; Chordata; Mammalia; Rodentia; Bathyergidae.